UCUUGACGUUAGCAACAGAAGAAGCACCGGCUAACUCCGUGCCAGCAGCCGCGGUAAUACGGAGGGUGCGAGCGUUAAUCGGAAUUACUGGGCGUAAAGCGCAUGCAGGUGGUUCAUUAAGUCAGAUGUGAAAGCCCGGGGCUCAACCUCGGAACUGCAUUUGAAACUGGUGAACUAGAGUACUGUAGAGGGGGGUAGAAUUUCAGGUGUAGCGGUGAAAUGCGUAGAGAUCUGAAGGAAUACCAGUGGCGAAGGCGGCCCCCUGGACAGAUACUGACACUCAGAUGCGAAAGCGUGGGGAGCAAACAGGAUUAGAUACCCUGGUAGUCCACGCCGUAAACGAUGUCUACUUGGAGGUUGUGGCCUUGAGCCGUGGCUUUCGGAGCUAACGCGUUAAGUAGACCGCCUGGGGAGUACGGUCGCAAGAUUAAAACUCAAAUGAAUUGACGGGGGCCCGCACAAGCGGUGGAGCAUGUGGUUUAAUUCGAUGCAACGCGAAGAACCUUACCUACUCUUGACAUCCAGAGAA
This 529-nucleotide ribosomal RNA is filed under the name Vibrio kanaloae. RNAcentral's name for it is "bacterial SSU rRNA". It matches the Rfam family "Bacterial small subunit ribosomal RNA", at positions 467 to 995 of the family's 1533-position model. Lineage: Bacteria; Pseudomonadati; Pseudomonadota; Gammaproteobacteria; Vibrionales; Vibrionaceae. The record is from RNAcentral.